GAUGAACGCUGACAGAAUGCUUAACACAUGCAAGUCAACUUGAACUUCGGUUUGGGUGGCGGACGGGUGAGUAACGCGUAAAGAACUUGCCUCACAGCUAGGGACAACAUUUGGAAACGAAUGCUAAUACCUGAUAUUAUGAUUUUAGGGCAUCCUAGAAUUAUGAAAGCUAUAUGCGCUGUGAGAGAGCUUUGCGUCCCAUUAGCUAGUUGGAGAGGUAACGGCUCACCAAGGCGAUGAUGGGUAGCCGGCCUGAGAGGGUGAACGGCCACAAGGGGACUGAGACACGGCCCUUACUCCUACGGGAGGCAGCAGUGGGGAAUAUUGGACAAUGGACCAAGAGUCUGAUCCAGCAAUUCUGUGUGCACGAUGAAGUUUUUCGGAAUGUAAAGUGCUUUCAGUUGGGAAGAAAAAAAUGACGGUACCAACAGAAGGAGUGACGGCUAAAUACGUG
RNAcentral lists this ribosomal RNA (454 nucleotides) under uncultured bacterium. RNAcentral's name for it is "partial 16S ribosomal RNA". It matches the Rfam family "Bacterial small subunit ribosomal RNA", at positions 28 to 507 of the family's 1533-position model. The record is from RNAcentral.